Molecule: unclassified non-coding RNA, 381 nt
Filed under: uncultured bacterium
Lineage: Bacteria
Description: contains 16S-23S intergenic spacer region
Source: RNAcentral
UCCGGCUUGUCACCGGCAGUUUCUCCAAAGUGCCCAGCAUAACCUGAUGGCAACUGGAGACGAGGGUUGCGCUCGUUGCGGGACUUAACCCAACAUCUCACGACACGAGCUGUCGACAGCCAUGCAGCACCUGUGCUGACUCCGGCCGAACCGAAGGUCCCAUCUCUGAGACCGGCGAGUCACAUGUCAAGGGCUGGUAAGGUUCUUCGCGUUGCAUCGAAUUAAACCACACGCUCCGCUGCUUGUGCGGGCCCCCGUCAAUUCCUUUGAGUUUUAGCCUUGCGGCCGUACUCCCCAGGCGGGACACUUAAUGCGUUAGCUUCGGCACUGGCGGGGUUGAUACCACCAACACCUAGUGUCCAUCGUUUACGGCUAGGACUA